GUACUCACUUCGGCAGCAUGUAUACUAAAAUUGGAAAGAUAUAGUGAAUAUUAGCAAGACCCCACAAAGGAUGACAUGCGAAUUCAUGAAGGAAUACCGUACUUG
This is a small nuclear RNA of Sorex araneus (European shrew), 105 nucleotides long. Lineage: Eukaryota; Metazoa; Chordata; Mammalia; Eulipotyphla; Soricidae. The record is from Ensembl.